ACGCUCGACACCUACGUGAGGCAGCAGUGGGGAAUAUUGCACAAUGGGGGAAACCCUGAUGCAGCGACGCCGCGUGAAGGAAGAAGUAUCUCGGUAUGUAAACUUCUAUCAGCAGGGAAGAAAAUGACGGUACCUGACUAAGAAGCCCCGGCUAACUACGUGCCAACAGCCGCGGUAAUCUGAGCGGGCUGGCAAGGC
RNAcentral lists this ribosomal RNA (198 nucleotides) under uncultured bacterium. RNAcentral's name for it is "partial 16S ribosomal RNA". It matches the Rfam family "Bacterial small subunit ribosomal RNA", at positions 328 to 539 of the family's 1533-position model. The record is from RNAcentral.